UUACACUAAAGGAAAAAACUAGUCGAAGAGGACGACCUUCCCCAAUAGAGGAGGACUGUUCUUUGGUCAAGGGUAUACAAGUAGCUGCCCUCCCCUGCUAGAACCUCCAAACAAGCUCUCAAUAAUAACCCUGAAUCUUAAUGGCCUAAAC
RNAcentral lists this small RNA (151 nucleotides) under Urocitellus parryii (Arctic ground squirrel). RNAcentral describes it as "7SK RNA (ENSUPAG00010016738.1)". It matches the Rfam family "7SK RNA", at positions 128 to 273 of the family's 331-position model. Rfam says of the family: 7SK was discovered as an abundant small nuclear RNA in the mid-70s but a possible function has only recently been suggested. Two independent studies have found that 7SK RNA binds the CDK9/cyclin T complex (known as elongation factor P-TEFb). The record is from RNAcentral. Lineage: Eukaryota; Metazoa; Chordata; Mammalia; Rodentia; Sciuridae.